UACGGAGGGUGCAAGCGUUAUCCGGAUUUCCUGGGUUUAAAGGGUGCGUAGGUGGGUCUGUAAGUCAGUGGUGAAAUCUCCGAGCUUAACUCGGAAACUGCCAUUGAUACUAUAGGUCUUGAAUUAUCUGGAGGUAAGCGGAAUAUGUCAUGUAGCGGUGAAAUGCUUAGAUAUGACAUAGAACACCAAUUGCGAAGGCAGCUUACUACACAGUAAUUGACACUGAGGCACGAAAGCGUGGGGAUCAAACAGG
This 253-nucleotide ribosomal RNA is filed under the name uncultured bacterium. RNAcentral describes it as "partial 16S ribosomal RNA". It matches the Rfam family "Bacterial small subunit ribosomal RNA", at positions 524 to 776 of the family's 1533-position model. The record is from RNAcentral.